This 835-nucleotide long non-coding RNA is filed under the name Homarus americanus (American lobster). RNAcentral describes it as "uncharacterized LOC121858045, transcript variant X1". The record is from RNAcentral. Lineage: Eukaryota; Metazoa; Arthropoda; Malacostraca; Decapoda; Nephropidae.
AGCUAGUUGUGACCUUACUGGACCAGCUAGUUGUGACCUUACUGGACCAGCUAGUUGUGACCUUACUGGACCAGCUAGUUGUGACCUUACUGGACCAGCUAGUUGUGACCUUACUGGACCAGGUAGAUGUGACCUUACUACAUCAGAUAGUUGUGACCUUACUGGACCAGCUAGUUGUGACCUUACUGGACCAGCUAGUUGUGACCUUACUGUACCAGGUAGAUAUGACCUUACUGGACCAGGUAGCAGUGACUUACUGGACCAGGUAGAUGUGACCUUACUGUACCAGGUAGAUGUGACCUUACUGGACCAGGUAGCAGUGACUUACUGGACCAGGUAGAUGUGACCUUACUGGAGCAGCUAGUUGUGACCUUACUGUACCAGGUAGAUGUGACCUUACUGGACCAGGUAGAAGUGACUUACUGGACCAGGUAGUUGUGACCUUACUGGACCAGGUAUUUGUGAUGUCACUGGACCAGGUAGGUGUGACCUAAAGUGGACCAGGUAGAUGUGACCUUACUGUACCAGGUUGAUGUGACCUUACUGGAACAGCUAGUUGUGACCUUACUGGACCAGGUAGAUGUGACCUUACUGAUAGACUCAUACAGUUGUGACCUCAUCAAGAAGUAUGGGAAGCAUGCUCCACAGGUGACCUCAACACACGUCAUGGUAUACCUCCAGGCAGGUGUAAGUUUGCAUUAGACAACAAGUGUGUUUAUCUACAUGAAGUCGUGACGACCACUACGAUCUUCACUCCAUGAUAAUUAACCUGAAAAUGUAUUACCUGAGCUAUAUGUAUUUAUUUUAAUAUAUUAAAUAUAUUUAUAAAAUAUAA